RNAcentral lists this ribosomal RNA (459 nucleotides) under uncultured bacterium. Its description in RNAcentral is "partial 16S ribosomal RNA". It matches the Rfam family "Bacterial small subunit ribosomal RNA", at positions 339 to 795 of the family's 1533-position model. The record is from RNAcentral.
CUACGGGGGGCAGCAGUAAGGAAUAUUGCGCAAUGGAGGCAACUCUGACGCAGCCAUGCCGCGUGCAGGAAGAAGGCCUUAUGGGUCGUAAACUGCUUUUAUUUAGGAAUAAACCCCCGAACGUGUUCGGGGCUGAAGGUACUAAACGAAUAAGCACCGGCUAACUCCGUGGCAGCAGCCGCGGUAAUACGGAGGGUGCAAGCGUUAUCCGGAUUUAUUGGGUUUAAAGGGUGCGCAGGCGGGCUAUUAAGUCAGUGGUGAAAUCCCGGGGCUCAACUCCGGAACUGCCAUUGAUACUGAUAGUCGUGAGUUUGGUUGAAGUGGGCGGAAUGUAGCAUGUAGCGGUGAAAUGCAUAGAUAUGCUACAGAACACCAAUCGCGAAGGCAGCUCACUAAGCCAAAACUGACGCUCAUGCACGAAAGCGUGGGGAUCAAACAGGAUUAGAUACCCCUGUAGUC